This is a long non-coding RNA of Aedes albopictus (Asian tiger mosquito), 5306 nucleotides long. RefSeq lists it as uncharacterized. The record is from RefSeq and is a predicted model, not a curated record. The transcript is spliced from 2 exons. NCBI's taxonomy places the organism in Eukaryota, Metazoa, Arthropoda, Insecta, Diptera, Culicidae.
UUCUCGUGCUGAUUGCAUUGCUUUUAUAUGGCCCAAAGUCACCCCCAAAACGAAGUAUUCGUACUACUCUCUCUCUCUCUUCUUGGCGUAACGUCCUCAUUGGGACAAAGCCUGCUUCUCAGCUUAGUGUUCUAUGAGCACUUCCACAGUUAUUAACUGAGAGCUUCCUCUGCCAAUGACCAUUUCGCAUGUGUAUAUCGUGUGGCAGGCACGAAGAUACUCUAUGCCCAAGGAAGUCAAGGAAAUUUCCUUUACGAAAAGAUCCUGGACCGACCGGGAAUCGAACCCGUCACCCUCAGCAUGGUCAUGCUGAAUACCCGUGCCGCAGACAGACGUUCUAGCUCGAACAAAUUUAUUCAAAUUUUCUAUGUAAAUUUUCACUAGCGACACCUAGGCAACCGAUUGCCACAGUGCAGUCGCGUGCAGUUGACAGUUUCAGAAACCACGUGCUUCCAGCCGCUCACUUACCACCCAAUUCACCACCCUCCGAAAAAUAAAAUCAAAACAAACACUGUCAAAAUCAUUCCUACAUUUGCGUCACAUUCACAAAGAUUUCCCAAUGCGAGUGAAGUUCAUCCAAAUGCAGUUUUAUUCAAGCAAAUCUAUGUAAAAUAAAAGUAAUAAUGUGUAAAAUAUUUUACAAGAGUCCUGCGCCAAUUUGUGCAAAAGAUUUAAGACAUUAAAUAAAAGUCAUUUACUCUGCACAAAUUAUGUGGAAACAUUAUUAGCGUGCAACACGUGCGGUCUUUUCCCGCCAUCCGGCUGGAAGACGACCGUGGUGACAGUUGUUGGUCGCAGCGCACAUGUGAGGCAGCGAUUGAAUAUGAACGUCGCUAACGCCAUCUGUUCGCUGAUUGCCACUUGGCAAUUUGUGGCGGCCAUGUUUUUUACACAAGCUGCUGAGUCAAAUUUGAACGUCUGUCUGCGAUAAUAGUUAUACGGCAUCCUCAAAUUAAUCGAUUAAAUAUAAUUAGGUUAUGGAUACCGUGACGCAAUACAUGUGAAACUGGAAUUAUCGCUUUUAAAAUUAAAUAAUUAAAGUACUUGCCGCUACUUGGAAUCGAACUUCCGAUCUUCGUAUCCACUGUCCCGAUGAUGUCCUGGCUGCCACACUGCUGUAUAUAAAUAACAUAAAACAGCCCGUUUUGUUUUACUCCAGGCAAGGCUUUAUAACUGUGCCACAAAAAACCUAACCCAACUUCAUUUUGCUGCAAAAGCUUGUGAAACGUCAAACGCAAUAAUGUUUACAUUGAACAAGCUGUGUGGUUGCCCGAACAGGUUCUUCGUCACAGCUUCUAGCUGAAAGAGUGUUCUUUAAACAGCUAUGAAGCGCUGCUGUUGUAUGUAUUUGACAACACUACAAACACUACGUACUCUAUAAAAGCAGCUGUUUUAUUGGUUGGGACUCUUAUUCGAUUUGCACAUCUUCCGGCAAAUCUUCCGGAGUUGGAUUAAAGUGCAAUAAAAGCAACCCAAACAAUUUCACAGCACAAUUUUCUCAUCAAAGUCGUCAAAGAACCACUUUUAGAGCUUCCAAAAACGCACAUUUUCGUACGCAGAGAAUGUUGCUACGUCAUUCCGUUCAAAAGAUAUUGAUGAUUUUCUAGAAAAUAUAGGCACUUUUCCAGUAUUUUUUACUUGAGUUACAAAAAUAACACCUCUCUAAUUUUUUGAUAUGUUUUAUAACAAUAUUUCUUCUUUUGAAUGCUGGAAAAAGAUAUUUUUUAUCUUUGCCCCAACCCUUAAUAUCGCUUUUUGAAUAAAUUAUUAUUUUUGAAGAAAAACGCUCAUAACUUUUGAACCAAAAAUGAUAACGAUCGUCUCAGCGUACGAAACGACGCGUUUUCAAAUGCUCUACAAAUGUUUCUUGGGCGACUUUGAUGAGAAAUUGAAACUGAAAAAGUUAAAGCCAGAAAACCUGUUUUUCCUGAAUCACCCUAAGCUAAUUCAGAAAUAUAUCUCUAGAUCGGUCAAUUUUAAAGCUACAAAAAAACUGUCCUCGGCAAACUUGCUCAAAAUUGAUAGGUCUCCAACUUUGCCGAAGAAUGUGUAUGGUUAUUCUUGCAAAUAAAAAAGUUUGGUUUCCAAUUUCUGUGAAAAUAUAGACCACCCUAAUUUUCAUGUAUAUUGGAAAAUGGGUCAUAUUAUUAGCAACAACUUUGUAUUUGUCUAAAAAAUCAUUUGAAGGCGCUACAUGCAUCUUUCCUCGUAAAUCUGGUUCGUGGACCAUACUGGGCCUACCCAACUAACAUUUUCAGCGCUAUAAGCUUCAGUCAUUUGCUUUCUGUUGUGUAAUCAUCGAGUAAAAGCAGUCAACGCUGAAUAAAAGGAAAGCUAGUCAAAUAUAAAUCAUAAGCUAAUACACGACUGCAAAACAAGCACCAUACAGCUACCAAACUCGGUUUUCAGAAAUCCAUUGCUUGUCACUGGGGCUGCCUUUACUCCACCCUAUUCCAACUCCGGGAGAUUUUCCGGACGAUGUGAACACUUGAAAACAUCGAAUAGGAGUCCCCACUAACAAAACAGCUGCUACUAUACAGUACAAUUCAUUAUACUGACAAAUCCCCAAACCAGCAGCGCUUUAAAGGCAGUUAUGCGAUUUAAUUACGGCUAGAAGCUGUAAUAAAGAAACUGUUGGUUUACCAACACGGCUUGUCGGAUGUAAACAUUAUUGUCAAAACAAACUUCAAGCGGGAUAUAUAGCUACUACACAAAUUCUUUACAGCUAUCCAUGUAUGUGCUGUGAAAUUAUUUGGGUUGCUUUUAUUGCACUUUAAUUCAAUGCCGGAAGAUUUGCCGGAAGACGUGCAAAUCGAGUAAGAGUCCCAGCCACUACAACAGCUGCUUUUAUACAGUACGUUUUGUAAUGUUGCCAAAAAACAAAACAACAGCGCUUCGUAGCCGUUUAAAGAACACUCUUUCAGCUAGAAGCUGUGAAGAAGAAUCUGUUGGCGCAACCACACAGCUUGUUCAAUGUAAACAUUAUUGCGUUUGACGUUUCACAAGCUUUUACAGCAAGAUGAAGUUGGGUAAGGUUUCUUGUGGCACAAUUAUGAAGCCUUGUCUAGAGUAAAACAAAACGGGCUAUUUUCUAUGUUAUUUAUAUAUAGCAGUGUGGCAGCGAGGACAUCAUCGGGACCAGUGGAUACGGAGAUCGGGAGUUGGAUUCCAAGUAGCGGCAAGUACUUUCAUUAUUCAAUUUUAAAAGUGAUAAUUCCAGUUCCACAUGUAUUGCGUCACGGUAUCCAUAACCUAAUUAUAUUUAAUCGUUCAAUUUGGGGAUGCCGUAAAACUAUUAUUUAACAACUGCGAAAAGGCUGAAAAAGCGCCUUCUCAAGAUGUUAUUCAGUUAGUGGUUACAUAGGAGCCGAGAAAAGAGCUAUGACUAGGUGGCAUAGAAGCUGAUCGCACAGCAUGUACAAGCUGAUUAAGUUCGCCAGAUUCAUUGGUAUAGGGCUUACAUAGAAGCUUCCGUCCAUAUGUACAACACAGUAACUCAGCAUCAAGCCGUAUUAAGGACGCUUUGUUGACGUUUACAUCCACUGUUCGGAUUAGUGGAAAUCAGUUCCUGUAGCAAUCUAGGUGUAGACAGCUCAAACUGCAAAUGAUCUUUAAUUAGCAUACAUAAUUUCCCCAUACAAUCGCAUACUUACAAAAUACUGAUACCUAUUUCGCCAAUCCGAACGUACCCAAUAGCCAACCAACAAAUUGCUCCUUGAUCCUACUAAAUUAAGCAUUGACAUUCAGUAUUCGACACAAUUCAAUCUCAUUCGUAACUUACUAAUUAUGAGCAACCGCGUAAUCGUGUGUUACUCAACAAGGACCUCUUAUCACACCUCAGCGAUGUAAGCUACUAAAACAUGCAUACAGGUAAGUAUUUAACUAUUUAAGCAACCAGUCCAUUUACCCUUUUCUUCUCAGCAAUCUAAUAAUCCAAUCUACACAAUACCCGCAUAGAAAAAUACAGUUAGUGUUAACAUCCAAACAGUACAUGUCUCCUUACAGUUAAUGUUACUUUGUCACAAAUGGUUGUUAUUGUGUUGAAAAAUAUGAAUCCCGAAGCUUUCGACAAUAAAGAACACUAAUAUUAAUCCAUGUCUAAUUUUAACAAUUUGUCAAAGUGUCCACACAUUGUUCAACAAUUUGUUGGUGCAUUUUUGUCAUAAAUUGUAGAAAUAUUAAGUCAACGUCUGUCAAAUGGUUCGCUUUUCCAUUUGCACGGCACACAUACAUAUAUACAUUUCAUCAUAAGAUACUCACUUUUAACAAUUUGGCAAAUGGCUGCAUGCGUUAAUAGUAGUGAGCUUUGUGUAUUGAAUAAAUUUUGUGUGUUGGCAAAUUUUCAUCGUGCAGCCGCUGUUGUUCAUUAUCAAAAUUAGCAAUAAACCAGGAAAUCUAGAGAACUCCCGCCUUUUCGCACAGGAUGUCUUGAACAUCCAGCGACCGGAAAAGGUAAGUUAUCCGAAUCUUAUACUAUACCGAGUGCUACUGCCGUAGGAACUUCACAAAUCUUUGCGUAACCAACCGUUCUGCUUGAAUUUAUUCCAGAUGAAAACCACAACCUACUCCCAGUCAAGCCCAAGCUAUCCAUCAUGGAUUCGGCAGUGCUGUUAUCUCCAGAUUUGUCCUUGGGUGUUUGUACGGAACAACGGGAGGCUCAAACAAACAUCGGAAGGCGUACAGAUCAUGAUGCCGCUGGAAGAAAGCAGUAAUCGGAAGGCGGAGGAACAUGUUUGAAAUAUGUCAUUGAAGCUCAAUCAUUGAACCGAUGGAUCAACUCAUCGCAAUUACAACGUUAUAAGAUCCUGCAAUUAAUUUCGAACUAGAUGUCCCCCGGCAGGGCUCUUCUACUACCAGGGCUAUACUAUCCUGCUUGACGAGAGUUACUAGUGAUUUUCAAUCUAACGUUUUUUUUUGGAUUGAAGAAGUGAGAAUGGUCUAGUGAGCAUGUUACAAUACAAGACUAAAGAUCGCAUCAGAUUUUUGUAAACUAUCGCACUUCUGUUGAUUCAGGAAUACACCCUCGAAACUCUUCACAACAAAUAUAAACCGAGCAAAAAUCGCAAUUUCCUGGCUAGAUACAAUGGUGUGCGCGGGUAGAUUGAACUGCAUGAACUCGGCCUAAGUUAGUGUUCAGUUUCAUUAUACAUACCUAAGUGUUGAAUGAUUUUAAAUAGAAAAAAAAAUGCGCGGUGUAAAACAAACAGUUACGUAAAAUUUAUGAUUUAACUUGACCAACAUUUUUGUAAAUCUCGUUUUAAAUACCAGUUUUUUUAUACAAAUAUACGCUUUUUCAUUAUUCAUUU